This 323-nucleotide unclassified non-coding RNA is filed under the name Zea mays. RNAcentral describes it as "misc RNA Zm00001eb218010". The record is from RNAcentral. Lineage: Eukaryota; Viridiplantae; Streptophyta; Magnoliopsida; Poales; Poaceae.
AGCAAGUGCACACCCUUCGAGGACAGCUGCUGUCGCCGCCAAGGCCGCAACCGGCCGUCGCUCCAUGCUGCGGUAGAAUUUAGAAACGAGAAGGGAGAUGGCGGCCGAGGCGCUGGGGUUCAUGGCGCGGGGAGCCAACGGUGGGAGGGCGGCGGAGCUCGUCACAAGGGACUUUCUCGGCGGGUGCGCCGCCACCGGCGACGCCAGGGACGCGUCCGCCAGGAAUGGCACCGUGCCCGGGAGGGUGGCUCAGCAGAAGCACGCGUGCCCGGCAACGCCGAUGGACCUCAACCUGUUAACAAUAAAACUCUUUCAUACCUCUC